Molecule: transfer RNA, 80 nt
Filed under: Spirilliplanes yamanashiensis
Lineage: Bacteria; Bacillati; Actinomycetota; Actinomycetes; Micromonosporales; Micromonosporaceae
Description: tRNA-Arg
Source: RNAcentral
GCGGCGGGCGGCGCGGCGGGCGGCGCAGGCCGUGCGGCGGCCUCGGCGUAGCCCGGGGCGUUCGUGACGCCGCCGCGGUA